UCCUACGGGGGGCAGCAGUGGGGAAUAUUGCGCAAUGGGGGAAACCCUGACGCAGCAACGCCGCGUGAGUGAAGAAGGCCUUCGGGUUGUAAAGCUCUUUAAUCAGGAACGAAGAAUGACGGUACCUGAAGAAUAAGCUCCGGCUAACUACGUGCCAGCAGCCGCGGUAAUACGUAGGGGGCAAGCGUUAUCCGGAUUUACUGGGUGUAAAGGGGGCGCAGACGGCGAUGCAAGCCAGGAGUGAAAGCCCGGGGCCCAACCCCGGGACUGCUCUUGGAACUGCGUGGCUAGAGUGCAGGAGGGGC
This 305-nucleotide ribosomal RNA is filed under the name uncultured bacterium. RNAcentral describes it as "bacterial SSU rRNA". It matches the Rfam family "Bacterial small subunit ribosomal RNA", at positions 337 to 658 of the family's 1533-position model. The record is from RNAcentral.